RNAcentral lists this long non-coding RNA (1461 nucleotides) under Marmota monax (woodchuck). The record is from RNAcentral. Lineage: Eukaryota; Metazoa; Chordata; Mammalia; Rodentia; Sciuridae.
UUUUUUAGUUUUCAGAGGACACAACAUCUUUGUUUGUACAUGGUGCUGAGGAUCGAACCCAGGCCGCACGCAUGCCAGGCGAGCACGCUACCGCUUGAGCCACAUCCCCAGCCCUGUGAAGGCUUCAUUAAAAGUCUGAGACAGUGUCUCUUGAACCUAUCUGUCUACACUUAUCAGAGCAUCUGUGAUGGGGGCCUGAGCUUUGUAAGAUACUUAUGCUUCACCAGAAAACUGAUGAAUGCAGAGGCAUUUGGGCAUGUCACAGCGCAGCUUAAAAAAAGCAAAGCCAAGUCCUUGCCUCCAGUGUGGCACAAAAUAGGGAGGAACUUCAAAUGUGAUAUGGCCAGGGGCACUAUGUCUUAGUGCAGUUUCCUGUGAUAUGUGAGGCCCAGUAGGACACUAGCCACCCAGCAGAUGCCUACAGUGACAGUACAUAGGGACAAGCUGUGGUUCCCCGGUCCCCUGACCACACUGCAUUCCGUGAGGUCACCCACCUGCAGAGGCAGAGCUCUGUGCCUGCUGACACAGCAGAAUCAGAGCUCAAGCAGAACUCGCCCUGAGGUGAGGAGUCACGUAGGCCUUGCCUAGUUACCCACGCACUGUGUGGGCUGAAGUCCUGCUGGCUGGGCAGUGAUUUUCGUCAAGGACGGUGAAGAUUCCCUAGCCUCACAUAUCAGCCCCAUGUCCUCAGCAAAGCCUGCAGUUUGAGAAAAGCCAUUUGAGGGAUGAUUGUGAUACUGUGUGAGCAGAUGCAGCAGGAGGGGAAUUUCAGAAAUCACUGUGGAUCUGGAAACAAGUUGGCUGUGAUAAAAUGGAGUUUGGAAGUGAGUUAGAUGGUAUUUAAAACAGUCGGUAUGGAAAAGCCAAGGUGCAGAAGGAGGGCGUGGAGGUGGCUGGCCUUCCGCAGCGUGUGCUGGUAAACUGCUUCGCGACCAAGGAUGGGAGGCUGGAUCCCCCAGGUUUUAAGCUCAACAAACUGUUCUCCCACUUUCACCACAAUGUGAUAUUCCAGGGUUUGUGUUUCCACAUUCUUCAGAUGGGUCCUCACUAGGGGACUUGAAAGAGUUGACAAGCCUUUGAAGAUAAUGUGAGGAGGGCAGUCCUGACCGUGAUUGCUUCUGCUGAACACAGACUUCAGAGAUCCUCUCACAAGGAGACUAGAGGCAUCCAGUGUGUCCUGGCUCUCCCCUGAAAUUGAUACCCCUCAACACAGGGGAGCACAGGAUAAGGUAGGAGAGCCCUGGGAGGGAGCAGGAGGCAGCACAGAGUCAGGGCCAGCAGAAAUCCAGAAAUACAGGUUCUUAGAGUAAGAAGAAAAUCCAAAACAGAGGUGGUCUUCACCAAACCUGUGGGUGCAGGCAGCUUGGGGGGAUGGGAAGGCUCCCCUCUGGUUUGCUGAGAGACAUCUUGGUGAUUUUAAGAAAUGCAGAUUCCGCUAUUGGGCAAGUGCUAAGUCUGAGC